RNAcentral lists this long non-coding RNA (582 nucleotides) under Salvia miltiorrhiza (redroot sage). RNAcentral's name for it is "long non-coding RNA (SMIL_LNC006222)". The record is from RNAcentral. Lineage: Eukaryota; Viridiplantae; Streptophyta; Magnoliopsida; Lamiales; Lamiaceae.
GGCUGCCUUGUCGAGCCGGUGACGCCUUCCGCCAGCGAUGUUCACCGAAGUGCAUUGAUUUCUUAAAGCAAGAGUUUUAUGUCAGAAAAACAAAUAGAAUAGAUAGAGAAAAAGAAAAAGGGAUAGAAACAAGGAAAUGGGGACGGCAACAGCAGCAGCCGCGAGCCACCGCCGGCGCUGCCGCGCCACGGCGGUCCGCUGUGGCCGCCAAUAGCAAGAGGAGAGAGAGAGAGGUUGAGGGCAGAGAGAGAGAAAGAUCGAGACAGAGAGAGGGGUUGAGAGAAGGAGAACGAGAGAGAGAGCGGAGAGAGGGCAGCGAGGGAGCAUACCUGGGGCAGGGGUAGCGGUGCGACGGAGACGGCGGUAGUGGCGGCGGGGCUCACCGGAGGGGCGAAUUUCAGGGGGAAGAAGGGAGGCAGAAAACUUAGGAAUUGAAUUUUAGAAUUUAGGGAUUUAGAAGUAGGAAAAAGAGGAGGAAAAGAGAGGGGCCGAUCUCACCGCACCGGAGGCGGCGAGGACCGGCGACGUCCUGCCAAGAGAAGAGGAAGGGAGCAGUUUUGGAGAAGGGAGUUUGGUGUCUUC